RNAcentral lists this transfer RNA (65 nucleotides) under Dipodomys ordii (Ord's kangaroo rat). It matches the Rfam family "tRNA". From Rfam's summary of the family: Transfer RNA (tRNA) molecules are approximately 80 nucleotides in length. Their secondary structure includes four short double-helical elements and three loops (D, anti-codon, and T loops). The record is from Rfam by way of RNAcentral. Lineage: Eukaryota; Metazoa; Chordata; Mammalia; Rodentia; Heteromyidae.
GGUGGUUCAGUGGUAGAGCACUUGCCUUGCAUGCAAGAAGCCCUGGGUUUGAUUCCUCAGCACCA